GGUGGCUAAUACCGGAUGAACCGAAAAGUAAAAAGGGAAACCUGCCUUUUGAAGAGCUCGCGUCUGAUUAGCUAGUUGGUGAGGUAAGAGCUCACCAAGGCAGCGAUCAGUAGCUGGUCUGAGAGGAUGACCAGCCACACUGGGACUGAGACACGGCCCAGACUCCUACGGGAGGCAGCAGUGGGGAAUUUUCCGCAAUGGGCGAAAGCCUGACGGAGCAAUACCGCGUGAGGGAAGAAGGCUCUUGGGUCGUAAACCUCUUUUAUCAGGGAAGAAAAAAAUGACGGUACCUGAAGAAUCAGCCUCGGCUAACUCCGUGCCAGCAGCCGCGGUAAUACGGAGGAGGCAAGCGUUAUCCGGAAUUAUUGGGCGUAAAGCGUCCGCAGGUGGCUUAUCAAGUCUGCUGUCAAAGAGUGGGGCUUAACCCCAUUAAGGCAGUGGAAACUGANAAGCUAGAGUGCCGUAGGGGUAGAGGGAAUUCCCGGUGUAGCGGUGAAAUGCGUANAGAUCGGGAAGAACAUCGGUGGCGAAAGCGCUCUACUGGACGGCAACUGACACUCAGGGACGAAAGCUAGGGGAGCGAAAGGGAUUAG
Molecule: ribosomal RNA, 593 nt
Filed under: Microcoleus steenstrupii HS030
Lineage: Bacteria; Bacillati; Cyanobacteriota; Cyanophyceae; Oscillatoriales; Microcoleaceae
Description: bacterial SSU rRNA
Rfam family: Bacterial small subunit ribosomal RNA
Source: RNAcentral